Molecule: ribosomal RNA, 406 nt
Filed under: uncultured bacterium
Lineage: Bacteria
Description: partial 16S ribosomal RNA
Rfam family: Bacterial small subunit ribosomal RNA
Source: RNAcentral
AUUGAACGCUGGCGGCAUGCUUUACACAUGCAAGUCGGACGCGUGGCGAACGGGUGAGUAAUAUAUUGGAACGUACCGAGUAAUGGGGGAUAACCAAUCGAAAGAUUGGCUAAUACCGCAUAUUAUCCGAGCGGCCAAUAUCCGCUAAGCUCGUUGGUGGGGUAAAGGCCUGCCAAGGCGACGAUCAGUAGCGGGUCUGAGAGGAUGAUCCGCCACACGGGUACUGGGACGCAGCCCAGUCUCCUACGGACGGCAGCAGUGGGGAAUUUUGGACAAUGGGCACAAGCCUUAUCCAGCCAUGCCGCGGGUCUGAAGAAGGCCUUCGGAUUGUAAAGGACUUUUGGUAGGAAAGCGUUACCUUAAGAAUGAGCACCGGCUAACUACGUGCCAGCAGCCGCGGUAAUUC